Molecule: ribosomal RNA, 596 nt
Filed under: uncultured bacterium
Lineage: Bacteria
Description: bacterial SSU rRNA
Rfam family: Bacterial small subunit ribosomal RNA
Source: RNAcentral
AUUGAACGCUGGCGGCAUGCUUUACACAUGCAAGUCGAACGGCAGCACGGGGCAACCUGGUGGCGAGUGGCGAACGGGUGAGUAAUAUAUCGGAACGUACCCAGAAGUGGGGGAUAACGUAGCGAAAGUUACGCUAAUACCGCAUACGAUCUACGGAUGAAAGUGGGGGAUCGCAAGACCUCAUGCUUUUGGAGCGGCCGAUAUCUGAUUAGCUAGUUGGUAGGGUAAAGGCCUACCAAGGCGACGAUCAGUAGCUGGUCUGAGAGGACGACCAGCCACACUGGGACUGAGACACGGCCCAGACUCCUACGGGAGGCAGCAGUGGGGAAUUUUGGACAAUGGGCGCAAGCCUGAUCCAGCAAUGCCGCGUGAGUGAAGAAGGCCUUCGGGUUGUAAAGCUCUUUUGUCAGGGAAGAAACGGCUUGGGAUAAUACCUUGGGCUAAUGACGGUACCUGAAGAAUAAGCACCGGCUAACUACGUGCCAGCAGCCGCGGUAAUACGUAGGGUGCAAGCGUUAAUCGGAAUUACUGGGCGUAAAGCGUGCGCAGGCGGUUUUGUAAGUCUGUCGUGAAAGCCCCGGGCUUAACCUGGGAAU